UAGGUAGUUUCAUGUUGUUGGGAUUGACUUCCUGGCUCGGCAACAAGAAACUGCCUUGA
This is a microRNA precursor of Electrophorus electricus (electric eel), 59 nucleotides long. The record is from Ensembl. NCBI's taxonomy places the organism in Eukaryota, Metazoa, Chordata, Actinopteri, Gymnotiformes, Gymnotidae.